This 216-nucleotide ribosomal RNA is filed under the name Glomeromycotina sp. RNAcentral's name for it is "partial small subunit ribosomal RNA". The stretch from base 40 to 216 matches the Rfam family "Eukaryotic small subunit ribosomal RNA", at positions 686 to 864 of the family's 1831-position model. The record is from RNAcentral. Lineage: Eukaryota; Fungi; Glomeromycota.
GGGCCAGUAGGUUGGUCGUGCCACCGGUACGUACUGGUCUUACUGAUUCCUCCUUCCUGAAGAACCGUAAUGCCAUUAAUUUGGUGUUGCGGGGAAUCAGGACUGUUACUUUGAAAAAAUUAGAGUGUUUAAAGCAAGCUAACGCUUGAAUACAUUAGCAUGGAAUAAUGAAAUAGGACGAUCGAUCCUAUUUUGUUGGUUUCUAGGAUUGACGUA